Molecule: small RNA, 28 nt
Filed under: Bombyx mori (domestic silkworm)
Lineage: Eukaryota; Metazoa; Arthropoda; Insecta; Lepidoptera; Bombycidae
Description: ovarian small RNA-12838
Source: RNAcentral
CAAGCUAAGGAUUGGCUGGAGCGUGCUC